Molecule: transfer RNA, 64 nt
Filed under: Pisione sp. YZ-2018
Lineage: Eukaryota; Metazoa; Annelida; Polychaeta; Phyllodocida; Pisionidae
Description: tRNA-Cys
Source: RNAcentral
GGCCUUAUAGUUGAUCUAACAACAUUAAAUUGCAAGUUUAAAAGUGUAUAUUAUACUAAGGCUU